GGUCUAUUGGCUCAGUUGGUUAGGGGGUGGUAUUAAUAAUGUCAAGGUUGCAGGUUCGACUCCCGUAUGAAGUA
This is a non-coding RNA of Sphaerobolus stellatus SS14, 74 nucleotides long. Lineage: Eukaryota; Fungi; Basidiomycota; Agaricomycetes; Geastrales; Sphaerobolaceae. The record is from the annotation of a GenBank genome assembly.